This 254-nucleotide ribosomal RNA is filed under the name uncultured bacterium. RNAcentral describes it as "partial 16S ribosomal RNA". It matches the Rfam family "Bacterial small subunit ribosomal RNA", at positions 524 to 776 of the family's 1533-position model. The record is from RNAcentral.
UACGUAGGGUGCGAGCGUUGUCCGGAAUUACUGGGCGUAAAGAGCUCGUAGGCGGUGUGUCGCGUCGGCCGUGAAAACCUGCAGCUUAACUGUGGGCUUGCGGUCGAUACGGGCAUCACUGGAGUUCGGCAGGGGAGACUGGAAUUCCUGGUGUAGCGGUGAAAUGCGCAGAUAUCAGGAGGAACACCGGUGGCGAAGGCGGCAUCCUGGACCGGCAUUGACGCUGAGGCGCGAAAGCCAGGGGAGCAAACGGG